UGCAAGUCGAGCGGCAGCGCGGGGGCAACCUUGGCGGCGAGCGGCGAACGGGUGAGUAAUGUAUCGGAACGUACCCAGUCGUGGGGGAUAACUAUCCGAAAGGAUAGCUAAUACCGCAUACGUCCUGAGGGAGAAAGCGGGGGACCGAAAGGCCUCGCGCGAUUGGAGCGGCCGAUAUCGGAUUAGCUAGUUGGUGAGGUAAAGGCUCACCAAGGCGACGAUCCGUAGCUGGUCUGAGAGGACGACCAGCCACACUGGAACUGAGACACGGUCCAGACUCCUACGGGAGGCAGCAGUGGGGAAUUUUGGACAAUGGGGGCAACCCUGAUCCAGCCAUUCCGCGUGAGUGAAGAAGGCCUUCGGGUUGUAAAGCUCUUUCGGCAGGAACGAAACGGUGUCCCCUAAUACGGGGCGCUAAUGACGGUACCUGAAGAAGAAGCACCGGCUAACUACGUGCCAGCAGCCGCGGUAAUACGUAGGGUGCGAGCGUUAAUCGGAAUUACUGGGCGUAAAGCGUGCGCAGGCGGUUAUGUAAGACAGGUGUGAAAUCCCCGGGCUUAACCUGGGAACUGCGCUUGUGACUGCAUAACUCGAGUGUGGCAGAGGGGGGUGGAUUCCACGUGUAGCA
RNAcentral lists this ribosomal RNA (628 nucleotides) under uncultured bacterium. RNAcentral's name for it is "bacterial SSU rRNA". It matches the Rfam family "Bacterial small subunit ribosomal RNA", at positions 56 to 680 of the family's 1533-position model. The record is from RNAcentral.